RNAcentral lists this ribosomal RNA (372 nucleotides) under uncultured organism. Its description in RNAcentral is "bacterial SSU rRNA". It matches the Rfam family "Bacterial small subunit ribosomal RNA", at positions 526 to 896 of the family's 1533-position model. The record is from RNAcentral.
CGUAGGUGGCAAGCGUUGUCCGGAAUUAUUGGGCGUAAAGCGCGCGCAGGCGGUCCUUUAAGUCUGAUGUGAAAGCCCACGGCUCAACCGUGGAGGGUCAUUGGAAACUGGGGGACUUGAGUACAGAAGAGAAGAGUGGAAUUCCACGUGUAGCGGUGAAAUGCGUAGAGAUGUGGAGGAACACCAGUGGCGAAGGCGACUCUUUGGUCUGUAACUGACGCUGAGGCGCGAAGGCGUGGGGAGCAAACAGGAUUAGAUACCCUGGUAGUCCACGCUGUAAACGAUGAGUGCUAAGUGUUAGAGGGUUUCCGCCCUUUAGUGCUGCAGCUAACGCAUUAAGCACUCCGCCUGGGGAGUACGGCCGCAAGGCUG